This 133-nucleotide ribosomal RNA is filed under the name uncultured bacterium. Its description in RNAcentral is "partial 16S ribosomal RNA". It matches the Rfam family "Bacterial small subunit ribosomal RNA", at positions 356 to 486 of the family's 1533-position model. The record is from RNAcentral.
GAGGAAUAUUGGACAAUGGGCGCAAGCCUGAUCCAGCCACGCCGCGUGCAGGAAGACGGCCCUAUGGGUUGUAAACUGCUUUUAUUUGGGAAGAAACCCCGGGACGUGUCCCGGGCUGACGGUACCAAACGAA